Molecule: long non-coding RNA, 479 nt
Organism: Anthonomus grandis grandis
Lineage: Eukaryota; Metazoa; Arthropoda; Insecta; Coleoptera; Curculionidae
Exons: 3
Source: RefSeq, a predicted model, not a curated record
GUUAUUUCCAAACGCUAUACCUACAUUUUUUUGUAAUCAUAUUUGUGUACUUACAUCGACCGAAAUAAAUGAAACUGAAAUUAAUGUUAAUCUGGAAUCCGAAAGCGAAGAACCUCCACGAAAGAUUUUGAUUUUAUCAGAUGUGAAUAACCUUAAAUCAAAUAAAGAUAUGAUUGACCAAACGACCAAUUAUAAAUUUGUUCAAAGUGAUUUUUCAAAGGCAUAUGUAAACACAGAUGUGACAGGCACUAAAGAUACGCCCAUCAAUUACAUUACAAGCAUAAAAUCAACAAGCAUAGGAACACAAACUUCAUCUGCAUUGACUGCCAAUAGCCCAAGAAAGCUGAAAUUGCGAUACCAAGUCAGAGGUUUAAAAAGGAAUAUAUUAAAACAAAAAAAGCAAUUUGAGCAGGCUAAAGCGAUUAAACCGAAACUCGAUAGUUUUAUUAAAUUAUGUGACAGCUUUUUAAAUAAAACUU